AUUGAACUCUGGCGGCAGGCCUAACACAUGCAAGUCGAGCAAGCGGCGGACUGGUGAGUAAUGUCUGGGAAAAUGCCUGAUGGAGGGGGAUAACUACUGGAAACGGUAGCUAAUACCGCAUCCCAUCCGCUGUGCCCAGUGGUGAUUAGCUAGUAGGUGGUGUAGCGGCUCACAUAGGCGACGAUGCCUAGCUGGUCUUAGAGGAUGACCAGUCACACUGGAUCUUAGCCAAGGUCCAGACUCCUACGUGAGGCAGCAUUGGGGAAUUGUGCAAAAUGGGCGCAAGCCUGCUGCAGCCAUGCCGCGUGUGUUAAGUAGGCCUUCGGGUUGUAAAGCACUUUCAGCGGGGAGGCGUUACCCACAGAAGAAGCACCGGCUAACUCCGUGCCAGCCGCCGCGGUAAUAC
This 406-nucleotide ribosomal RNA is filed under the name uncultured bacterium. Its description in RNAcentral is "partial 16S ribosomal RNA". It matches the Rfam family "Bacterial small subunit ribosomal RNA", at positions 30 to 526 of the family's 1533-position model. The record is from RNAcentral.